GCUCUGCAGGGGUGGCUCAGUGGUUGAGCGUCAACCUAUGGACCAGGAGGUCACGGUUCAAUUCCCAUUCAGGGCACAUGCCCGGGUUG
Myotis brandtii (Brandt's bat) is the source of this 89-nucleotide long non-coding RNA. RefSeq lists it as uncharacterized. NCBI's taxonomy places the organism in Eukaryota, Metazoa, Chordata, Mammalia, Chiroptera, Vespertilionidae. The record is from RefSeq and is a predicted model, not a curated record. The transcript has 3 exons.